CCUACGGGAUGCAGCAGUGAGGAAUAUUGGUCAAUGGGCUUACGCCUGAACCAGCCAAGUCGCGUGAGGGAAGACUGCCCUAUGGGUUGUAAACCUCUUUUGUCAGGGAGCAACGCCGGCUACGUGUAGCCGGACUGAGAGUACCUGAAGAAAAAGCAUCGGCUAACUCCGUGCCAGCAGCCGCGGUAAUACGGAGGAUGCGAGCGUUAUCCGGAUUUAUUGGGUUUAAAGGGUGCGUAGGCGGAAUGCCAAGUCAGCGGUCAAAUCGCGGGGCUCAACCUCGCUCCGCCGUUGAAACUGGCGUUGUUGAGUGGGCGAGAAGUAUGCGGAAUGCGUGGUGUAGCGGUGAAAUGCAUAGAUAUCACGCAGAACUCCGAUUGCGAAGGCAGCAUACCGGCGCCCAACUGACGCUGAAGCACGAAAGCGUGGGUAUCGAACAGGAGUAGAUACCCUAGUAGUC
Molecule: ribosomal RNA, 460 nt
Filed under: uncultured bacterium
Lineage: Bacteria
Description: partial 16S ribosomal RNA
Rfam family: Bacterial small subunit ribosomal RNA
Source: RNAcentral